UACGGAGGGUGCAAGCGUUAAUCGGAAUUACUGGGCGUAAAGCGCGCGCAGGCGGUCUUCCAAGUCAGUGGUGAAAGCCCGGAGCUCAACUCCGGAACUGCCAUUGAAACUGUUGGACUUGAGUACGAGAGAGGUGAGUGGAAUUCCCAGUGUAGAGGUGAAAUUCGUAGAUAUUGGGAAGAACACCGGUGGCGAAGGCGGCUCACUGGCUCGUAACUGACGCUCAGGCGCGAAAGCGUGGGGAUUAAACAGG
This 253-nucleotide ribosomal RNA is filed under the name uncultured bacterium. RNAcentral describes it as "partial 16S ribosomal RNA". It matches the Rfam family "Bacterial small subunit ribosomal RNA", at positions 524 to 776 of the family's 1533-position model. The record is from RNAcentral.